This is a long non-coding RNA of Triticum aestivum (bread wheat), 2639 nucleotides long. RefSeq lists it as uncharacterized. The record is from RefSeq and is a predicted model, not a curated record. The transcript is spliced from 14 exons. NCBI's taxonomy places the organism in Eukaryota, Viridiplantae, Streptophyta, Magnoliopsida, Poales, Poaceae.
UUCGCCCACCGUUUACAUCAUCACGUCACAACAUUGGGACAGCCCAUUAAUGUGUACCUGAAGCAAUCCUCCCCUUGCAUGCCCUCCUCGCAAUCCUCCCAACGUCCUCGCGCCACUGUCCUCUUCUCCUCGAUCUCCUCUACCAGGGCGCCCUCCUCGUGACCCAGGCGCUGGCCGACGUCGGCGACUCCGCUCUGCUCCUCCGCGGACUCACGCUCUGCCGCCGCCGAGGAGACGGCUUGAGGAAGAUCCCUUGGACCGAGUACCUGAUCUCGGAUCUGGUGCUCGUGGGGUGGCGGGAUUGAAAGUAUGGAUCUUGGGGACGGGCAGAUGACGUUCGUCGUGUUAGGAAGAUGAGUAUGUAACUCGUGGAGUCCGAGCUGUUGCGUGGCGACGCUCGAGUGCAGCGUUCAGAUGGAAGGGGCCGCGACCUUGAUGGGUUGGGGCUCGCCUCCCGCGCUCCUCUUCGUCAUGUACAACAACCAUGGCGGCCCUAUGUGUCGAACUGUCCCGACAACGACGCUGCAGCCUGCUGACUCUAUGUGUAGGACUGCCUGACUCAACCUCUAUCUCAAUGUUAACUCAAUGCCCAACAAUGUCGUCAAUUGUCAGCAAGCAGUUACUCCAAAUUCCAUUGCCCAAACGCCAUAUAUAUGUACCUUGAGUACAAGAGAUAAGAGACCAUGGAUGCAAAAGUCAUAAAAUUAGGAACCUGAAGGGAAAAUGGAAGGCACCUUUGAUCGACAUUCAGCCUAGAAAACAAAAACAAAACAGUGGAGCUGAAGCAGAUGGUUUGUUGAUUUAUGAUGGUGCAGAUCUUGGAAACAAUUCAACUGGGCACCACGGCGCUGAAUUGAAGUACAACUUCUUGCCGGAAAGUUCUUAUAUAUGAUCUCUAGAAUCUCGACAACAAAAAUGGACCAUCUUGCGUCUUACUCAAGUCAGUUACAACAAUCAGAAGUUGUGAUGGAUAUGAGUCUUGUUUACGCUUUAGAGUAAAUGCACGAAGAACUGAUGAAUGAGAAGAUAUUUUCAGAGAACCAUCGAUGCUACGUGCAAUGCUGGUUUGAUAAUUUUUCGCAUGUCUCGUGCAUGACAGCAGCGCAUUCAUUGGCCUCCACUUGUGCGCCAAUCUAUGAUGCCUGCGCCCGCGGUGUCAGGUCACGCUCUGCUGCAAUUGUGCAUGCCGCCUCUACGCGACCCCAUCAAGGAAUACAGCCCAACUGAGAUUUUUCAUAUCAUCUCUGCCAUGUCGUCAUCGUUGCAAGAGAUUCUGAAAACAAAAACAAAACAGUGGGGCUGAAACAUAUGGUUUUUUGAUUUAUGAUGGUGCAGAUCUUGGAAACAAUUCAACUGGGCACCAUGGCGCUGAAUUCAAGUACAACUUCUUGCCGGAAAGCUCUUAUAUAUGAUCUCUUGAAUCUCGACAACAAAAAUGGACCAUCUUGCGUCUUACUCCAGUCAGUUACAACCUAACAAUCAGAAAUUGUGAUGGAUAUGAGUCUUGUUUACGCAUUAGAGUAAAUGCACGAAGAACUGAUGAAUGAGAAGAUAUUUUCAGAGAACCAUCGAUGCUACGUGCAAUGCUGGUUUGAUAAUUUUUCGCAUGUCUCGUGCAUGACACCAGGGCAUUCAUCGGCCUCCACUUGUGCGCCAAUCUAUGAUGCCUGCGCUCGCGGUGUCAGGUCACGCUCUGCUGCAAUUGUGCAUGCUGCCUCUACGCGGCCCCAUCAAGGAAUACAGCCCAGCUGAGAUUUUUCAUAUCAUCUCUACCAUGGCGGCAUCGUUGCAAGAGAUUCAGGUAGUGGUGCAUCCGGACGUUGUCAAAAUCUCUCCCAAACCUGUAAUGAAGUGCUCGACAAAGGAUGCUAGCGCUAUAUUGCCUGCUGAAUUUUUCUGAUACCAAAAGGACCAGAGCCAACCAAAGUCAUCAACAUAUAUACACCCAAACCUGCACCUUAUGGACAUGGGGAUUGUCAAACUCGGUGUCACGAAUGUUGAAGGUUGUACAAUGGCAACGGAUAAGCUGAAGGAGCUUAGAGAAGACCUUGGAACAUAUAUAUGCUACAGUAUAACUGAUGGGGUGGGUUAUGGAAUAUAGAUUAAAGGGUGUCGAUUUUAUGAUUGUACCGACUGAAGUUUUUUCAGGUGGUGUGAUACGUCUUCAACAUAUCUAUAAUUUUUUAUUGCUUCAUGCUACAUUAUCUACUGUUUUAGACAUUAUUGGGUUUUAUUAUCCACUUUUAUAUUAUUUUUGGGACUAACCUAUUAACCGGAGGCCCAGCCCACAAUUGCUGUUUUUUUUGUUUAUUUUAGGGUUUCGAAGAAAAGGAAUAUCAAUCAGAGUUCAAAUGAAAUGAAACCUUCGGAAACGAGAUUUUCUCACCGAACAUGAUCUAGGAGACUUACGCCAAGAAACAAAGGAAGUGGGGCGUAGGCGCGCCCACCACCCUCGUGGGCCCCUUGUUGCUCCAUCGACGUACUCCUUCCUCCUAUACGCCCUCGAUGCGGCUAUAUCUUCUACGUGUCGAAGCAUGACUUAGAGGCAUAACCGCAUUGAAAGCAAUGUUGCAAGUAAGGUAAUCUUCACAACAACACAUGUAAAUAGAUAAUAAGGGGAAACAUACAUAAUUGACUUA